UCCCAGUCACCCAGAAAAUAAACUUUUAAUUCCCUGCCCCUUUUUGGAACAUGCCUUUUCCUUCCUCAUCUAGUCCUCUGAGAAUUGAACCCCUCCUUCAAAAGCCAGAUCCAAUUCCCACUUCCUCCGUGGAGUCUUCCUUCCCUGGCCAGAAUAGCUUUGUUCAGAUAUUUGCAAAUAUUUGGUUAGGAUGAAUCUGCUUCUACUUGCUACCACACCCAAAA
Molecule: long non-coding RNA, 224 nt
Filed under: Homo sapiens (human)
Lineage: Eukaryota; Metazoa; Chordata; Mammalia; Primates; Hominidae
Description: long non-coding RNA NONHSAT193158
Source: RNAcentral